This 254-nucleotide ribosomal RNA is filed under the name uncultured bacterium. Its description in RNAcentral is "partial 16S ribosomal RNA". It matches the Rfam family "Bacterial small subunit ribosomal RNA", at positions 524 to 776 of the family's 1533-position model. The record is from RNAcentral.
UACGUAGGGUGCGAGCGUUGUCCGGAAUUAUUGGGCGUAAAGAGCUCGUAGGCGGUGUGUCACGUCGGCCGUGAAAACCUGCAGCUUAACUGUGGGCGUGCGGUCGAUACGGGCAUCACUGGAGUUCGGCAGGGGAGACUGGAAUUCCUGGUGUAGCGGUGAAAUGCGCAGAUAUCAGGAGGAAUACCGGUGGCGAAGGCGGCAUCCUGGACCGGCAUUGACGCUGAGGAGCGAAAGCUAGGGGAGCAAACGGG